GCCGGGCGUAGUGGCGCACGCCUGUAAUCCAGCUACUUGGAGGCUGGGGUCUCUGAACGGCUUGAGGGUGGGAUUCCUGGGGGCGGUUGUCCUAUGUAGAUCGGGUGUCCGCGCUAAGUUUGGCGUCAAUAUGGGGAACACGGAGGAAUUUGAGUUCUCCAGGUUGGUUAAAGAGGAGCGAACCGGCCCAGGGUGGAAACACAGCAGGCAAAAGCUCCCGCGUCAAACAGAGUCGAG
RNAcentral lists this signal recognition particle RNA (237 nucleotides) under uncultured Symbiodinium. RNAcentral's name for it is "partial Metazoan signal recognition particle RNA". It matches the Rfam family "Metazoan signal recognition particle RNA", at positions 1 to 238 of the family's 299-position model. From Rfam's summary of the family: The signal recognition particle (SRP) is a universally conserved ribonucleoprotein. It is involved in the co-translational targeting of proteins to membranes. The record is from RNAcentral. Lineage: Eukaryota; Dinophyceae; Suessiales; Symbiodiniaceae.